UGGGGAAUUUUCCGCAAUGGGCGAAAGCCUGACGGAGCAUUGCCGCGUGGAGGUGGAAGGCCCACGGGUCGUCAACUUCUUUUCUCGGAGAAGAAACAAUGACGGUAUCUGAGGAAUAAGCAUCGGCUAACUCUGUG
Molecule: ribosomal RNA, 137 nt
Filed under: Oryza environmental sample
Lineage: Eukaryota; Viridiplantae; Streptophyta; Magnoliopsida; Poales; Poaceae
Description: partial 16S ribosomal RNA
Rfam family: Bacterial small subunit ribosomal RNA
Source: RNAcentral